This 395-nucleotide ribosomal RNA is filed under the name Hymenomonas globosa. RNAcentral's name for it is "partial small subunit ribosomal RNA". It matches the Rfam family "Eukaryotic small subunit ribosomal RNA", at positions 30 to 432 of the family's 1831-position model. The record is from RNAcentral. Lineage: Eukaryota; Haptophyta; Coccolithales; Hymenomonadaceae.
GCUUGUCUCAAAGAUUAAGCCAUGCAUGUCUAAGUAUAAGCGACUAUACUGUGAAACUGCGAAUGGCUCAUUAAAUCAGUUAUGGUUUAUUUGAUGGUACCUACUACUUGGAUAACCGUAGUAAUUCUAGAGCUAAUACAUGCAGGAAGACCCGACUCACGAAGGGUUGUAUUUAUUAGAUUGAAACCAACCGCUUCGGCGUGAUGUGGUGAUUCAUAAUAAAUUUGCGAAUCGCAUGGCUUUACGCCGGCGAUGGAUCAUUCAAGUUUCUGCCCUAUCAGCUUUGGAUGGUAGGGUAUUGGCCUACCAUGGCUUUAACGGGUAACGGAGAAUUAGGGUUCGAUUCCGGAGAGGGAGCCUGAGAAACGGCUACCACAUCUAAGGAAGGCAGCAGG